Molecule: ribosomal RNA, 253 nt
Filed under: uncultured bacterium
Lineage: Bacteria
Description: partial 16S ribosomal RNA
Rfam family: Bacterial small subunit ribosomal RNA
Source: RNAcentral
UACGGAGGGUGCAAGCGUUGUCCGGAUUUAUUGGGUUUAAAGGGUACGUAGGCGGUUUAUUAAGUCAGUGGUGAAAGUUUACAGCUUAACUGUGAAAGUGCCAUUGAUACUGAUAAACUUGAGUAUUGUAGAGGCAGGCGGAAUUCCUCAUGUAGCGGUGAAAUGCAUAGAUAUGAGGAGGAACACCAAAAGCGAAGGCAGCUUGCUGGGCAAUAACUGACGCUGAGGUACGAAAGUGUGGGGAGCGAACAGG